Molecule: ribosomal RNA, 243 nt
Filed under: uncultured bacterium
Lineage: Bacteria
Description: partial 16S ribosomal RNA
Rfam family: Bacterial small subunit ribosomal RNA
Source: RNAcentral
UACGGGGGUGCGAGCGUUGUCCGGAAUCACUGGGCGUAAAGGGCGCGUAGGUGGUUUGAUAAGGGUGUGGUGAAAGUCCGGGGCUCAACCCCGGAUCUGCCGUGCCGACUGUCAAACUCGAGGACUGUAGAGGCAGACGGAAUUCCGGGUGUAGCGGUGGAAUGCGUAGAGAUCCGGAGGAAGACCGGUGGCGAAGGCGGUCUGCUGGGCAGUUCUGACACUGAGGCGCGACAGCGUGGGAGC